GAUGAAGAACGUAGCGAAAUGCGAUAAGUAAUGUGAAUUGCAGAAUUCAGUGAAUCAUCGAAUCUUUGAACGCACAUUGCGCCCCCCAGUAUUCUGGCGGGCAUGCCUGUUCGAGCGUCAUUUCAACCAUCAAGCCCUGGUUGUGUUGGGGUCCUGCGGCUGCCCGCAGGCCCUGAAAACCAGUGGCGGGCUCGCUAGUCACACCGAGCGCAGUAGCACAUCUCGCUCAGGGCGUGCGGCGGGCUCCAGCCGUUAAAGCACCCACCUUUCGCAAGGUUGACCUCGGAUCAGGUAGGAAUACCCGCUGAACUUAAGCAUAUCAAUAAGCGGAGGA
This 334-nucleotide unclassified non-coding RNA is filed under the name soil metagenome. RNAcentral describes it as "partial contains 5.8S ribosomal RNA, internal transcribed spacer 2, and large subunit ribosomal RNA". The stretch from base 1 to 120 matches the Rfam family "5.8S ribosomal RNA", at positions 35 to 154 of the family's 154-position model. The record is from RNAcentral.